RNA transcript from Sebastes umbrosus (honeycomb rockfish), 659 nucleotides. It is a transcript of the gene named complement C3-like, with no coding region annotated. The transcript is spliced from 6 exons. The record is from RefSeq and is a predicted model, not a curated record. NCBI's taxonomy places the organism in Eukaryota, Metazoa, Chordata, Actinopteri, Perciformes, Sebastidae.
GGUGAGAGUGGAUAAAAAGAGGGUGCUGCACAGCGACAGGCUACAUUGACAGCGGAUCAGGAUCAGUUGAGGAUGACUCUGCUGUGGCUGCUGGCCUCUGUGGCCUUUGUCUCCCUGACUUCUCUAGCUGAUGGAGCUGCAUUGCAGGUGAUGUCUGCCCCCAACUUGUUGCGGGUAGGAACAGCAGAAAACAUCUUUGUGGAGUGUCAAGACUGCUCCGGUGCAAACAUCCCGGUCGAAAUCAGCGUGAGGAACCAUCCAACCAAAAACAAAAGGCUGGCAUUCACACCUGUGACACUUACCAGUGCAAACAACUUCCAGGCGCUCGGACAAAUAACGAUCCCUGCUGGAGACUUCAGCAAGGAUCCCAACAUGAAGCAGUAUGUGUACCUGCAAGCUCAGUUCCCUGACCGGCUGCUGGAGAAAGUGGUCUUAGUGUCCUUCCAGUCCGGGUACAUCUUCAUCCAGACUGACAAGACUCUCUACACCCCCAACAGCAACGUUCAUUACAGGAUGUUUGCACCAUCGAGAUUGUGACCCCUGAAGGCAUCAUUUUACCAAUUGAUCCAGUCUCUUUGAAAUCAGGGAUGCACACUGGAGAUUUUCAACUCGCUGAAAUUGUCAGUCCCGGACUGUGGAAGGUGGUGACGAAGUUCCAC